GUCGCUUUAGUCGAGUGGCUAAGGCGUGCGCUGCUAAGGUGUUCCGCGAGAGUUUGAAUCUCUCAAGCGAUG
This 72-nucleotide transfer RNA is filed under the name Salix viminalis (osier). It matches the Rfam family "tRNA". Rfam says of the family: Transfer RNA (tRNA) molecules are approximately 80 nucleotides in length. Their secondary structure includes four short double-helical elements and three loops (D, anti-codon, and T loops). The record is from RNAcentral. Lineage: Eukaryota; Viridiplantae; Streptophyta; Magnoliopsida; Malpighiales; Salicaceae.